AGCGAACGCUGGCGGCAGGCCUAACACAUGCAAGUCGAACGAACCUUUCGGGGUUAGUGGCGGACGGGUGAGUAACACGUGGGAACGUGCCUUUAGGUUCGGAAUAACUCAGGGAAACUUGUGCUAAUACCGAAUGUGCUCUUCGGGGGGAAGAUUUAUCGCCUUUAGAGCGGCCCGCGUCUGAUUAGCUAGUUGGUUGAGGUAAUGGCGCACCAAGGCGACGAUCAGUAGCUGGUCUGAGAGGAUGAUCAGCCACAUUGGGACUGAGACACGGCCCAAACUCCUACGGGAGGCAGCAGUGGGGAAUCUUGCGCAAUGGGCGAAAGCCUGACGCAGCCAUGCCGCGUGAAUGAUGAAGGUCUUAGGAUUGUAAAAUUCUUUCACCGGGGACGAUAAUGACGGUACCCGGAGAAGAAGCCCCGGCUAACUUCGUC
RNAcentral lists this ribosomal RNA (434 nucleotides) under uncultured bacterium. RNAcentral's name for it is "partial 16S ribosomal RNA". It matches the Rfam family "Bacterial small subunit ribosomal RNA", at positions 29 to 507 of the family's 1533-position model. The record is from RNAcentral.